CAAAACCAAGAUGACACGCCGUCUCUCUCAGACAACACAAUAACACGUUACACACAGACAUAUAUAUCUCUAUCAUUAAUUCUUGCAAUUCCAUGGCUUGUCAAGGGAUCGAGGGGUUUACAGAAUCAGAUACAUCAGCAGACAUAGCACACCAAAUCAUGCAGCUAUUUGGAGAUGAUCAAGAUCAUGAUCAUGAACAAAGAAAUACUGUAAGAAACCGCAUGAUCUCCAAGAACAAGAAGAAGAACAUAAAGGAUGAAAUCAGAUCAUCACAGAAAAGCGUGCAAGAUUGUGUUCAGAUCAGUUGCAAGCCGUCGAAGAAACGCAGGUAUCGGAGCAUUAAUAAUCUGUAUAUGAUUACAGAGCCAGUAAAUGUUGUAGAUGAGAUUCAAGAGAAGAAAUUAAAAUUUUUGAAGGAACCCUAGUUUGAUUAUCGAGAAGGACAAUAUGGGUUCGUAGGGGUGGGCAGGGGUGUGGGUAGGGGGCCUUCAAUGUGAAUCUUGAUGCAGAUAGAUUAAUCUUAUUGUCUUUUGUUUAUGAUUCUGCAUGCUGGCUUUAGUUACUUAUAAUCUACUUUUUAAGUUUUAAUCUAUGCC
This 596-nucleotide long non-coding RNA is filed under the name Olea europaea (common olive). RNAcentral describes it as "long non-coding RNA (OEUR_LNC005472)". Lineage: Eukaryota; Viridiplantae; Streptophyta; Magnoliopsida; Lamiales; Oleaceae. The record is from RNAcentral.